This 756-nucleotide ribosomal RNA is filed under the name uncultured bacterium. Its description in RNAcentral is "bacterial SSU rRNA". It matches the Rfam family "Bacterial small subunit ribosomal RNA", at positions 28 to 776 of the family's 1533-position model. The record is from RNAcentral.
GAUGAACGCUAGCGGGAGGCCUAACACAUGCAAGCCGAGCGGUAUGUAUUAUUAGCUUGCUAAGAAUGCAGAGAGCGGCGCACGGGUGCGUAACAUGUGUGCAACUUGCCUUUAUCAGGGGGAUAGCCUUUAGAAAUGAAGAUUAAUACCCCAUAACAUAUUGAUUGGCAUCAAUUAAUAUUGAAAACUUCGGUGGAUAAAGAUAGGCACGCACAAGAUUAGCUAGUUGGUACGGUAACGGCGUACCAAGGCGACGAUCUUUAGGGGGCCUGAGAGGGUGAUCCCCCACACUGGUACUGAGACACGGACCAGACUCCUACGGGAGGCAGCAGUGAGGAAUAUUGGACAAUGGGUGAGAGCCUGAUCCAGCCAUCCCGCGUGAAGGACGACGGACCUAUGGUUUGUAAACUUCUUUUAUAUAGGAAUAAACCUACCCUCGUGAGGGUAGCUGAAUGUACUAUACGAAUAAGCACCGGCUAACUCCGUGCCAGCAGCCGCGGUAAUACGGAUGGUGCAAGCGUUAUCCGGAUUUAUUGGGUUUAAAGGGUCCGUAGGCGGGCUAAUAAGUCAGUAGUGAAAUCUUGUCGCUUAACGAUAAAACUGCUAUUGAUACUGUUAGUCUUGAGUGUAUUUGAAGUAGCUGGAAUGAGUAGUGUAGCGGUGAAAUGCAUAGAUAUUACUCAGAACACCAAUUGCGAAGGCAGGUUACUAAGAUACAACUGACGCUGAUGGACGAAAGCGUGGGGAGCGAACAGG